Molecule: transfer RNA, 72 nt
Filed under: Bison bison bison
Lineage: Eukaryota; Metazoa; Chordata; Mammalia; Artiodactyla; Bovidae
Rfam family: tRNA
About the family: Transfer RNA (tRNA) molecules are approximately 80 nucleotides in length.
Source: Rfam by way of RNAcentral
CCCCUGCUAGCUCAGUCGGUAAAGAAUCUGCCUGCAAUGCAGGGGACCUGGGUUUGAUUCCUGGGUCGGGAA